AGGACGAACGCUGGCGGCGUGCUUAACACAUGCAAGUCGAGCGGAAAGGCCCUUCGGGGUACUCGAGCGGCGAACGGGUGAGUAACACGUGAGUAAUCUGCCCCUAGCUCUGGGAUAGCUCCGGGAAACCGGGAUUAAUACCGGAUACGACCACCUUAGACAUCUUUUGUGGUGGAAAGAAUUUCGGCUAGGGAUGAGCUCGCGGCCUAUCAGCUUGUUGGUGGGGUAACGCCUACCAAGGCGACGACGGGUA
RNAcentral lists this ribosomal RNA (253 nucleotides) under uncultured bacterium. RNAcentral describes it as "partial small subunit ribosomal RNA". It matches the Rfam family "Bacterial small subunit ribosomal RNA", at positions 26 to 285 of the family's 1533-position model. The record is from RNAcentral.